GUCAGGACCACGGGGUGCGGGGGGGGGAUCAGAGUUUUAUUUAUGAUACUGUACUCUAAAUUAUUUUGAGAGAUAUUUUACACCCACCACCUUAAGAACCGGAAGAUCAUCCACUUUUUAUAAAGAAGUAGUGGGAGAGCAACAAGAAUGUGUGUUCAGCCAGGCGGGGAAUCAUGUAAGGGACACGACCUUUUGAGAGAACUAUAAUUAGAUCCCCCCCCUCCUCCCCUGAGCGGCAGUGGGGGGCCGAACAUGCGAAUAUAAAACAGCUGGCAGGAAGCGAGCUGUGGACCGGAGGCUCCUCUCCACGCGGUGCGGCCCGUUCCAUGAGAACCAAGAAGCUUUGCCUGUUUGAGUCGGGACCUUUGCCUUACCAGAGACGGGCCUGAUGAUUAUAGACAGAGAUAUAUUAUAAUGAGUCAUUUCUGUAAAUAAGAUCGUCUGUAAGCCAACAGGAAGGAUGGAACCCCGGAGACGUCUCCCUUUUUCUACCCUCCCGCUGGGCCCUGUGGUGGGGGGAGGAGACGGGGGGGGCGGUGGUCUCAAUGGGUGUCACGUCACUCGUUUUUUUUUCUAAUUUGUGUGCUCGAGGAUCGAAGCGGUCGGACGCUGAGAGGAGGCGUGAUGGCGACCGAGGGGCAGAGUGCCUUAGACUGACGGAGAGGUCCGAACCGCUUCAGACGGGCCGGAACAGAACUAUUGGAGGCUUAAGUGGUUCAUUUCAGAUUCUGAUCUCUCAACGAGGUCCAAAGUCAUUCGUCUCCACCGGGGAUUCCUCAUCUCAAGAGAUGGUGUUUUUAAAGCGCAGGACACUGUAGUCCAGGCCAAACCAUCUGUGGCCCCCGCGCCGCUCACUGACCGUUGCUAUGCUCUGCAUUCCGCCGCCGCGCGUCUGGAGGGAGAAGGAUGACUGAGUUUUGAAAUAGAAAAAAAGAAAUCGGCCUUCCCACCUCAGUUAGUCUCCUAUUGCAGGAGGAACUGGUUAAAUAUGAUGCCAAACGAAACAAGAUCCGCCUGUUUGAUUCCAGAUUACACAUUAAACUCAAUUCAUAAAAUCCAAUAGAUUUCAGCACAGCUAGGAAUCAACCAGCGAGUGGACCCGUAGAGGGGGGCGGGCUGUGGUUAGCACGCCUGUCCCGCUUACUGGUCCACUGAAGCUGUCUGGGGUUUUGGGAACGCUUUAAAAAAAAAGCAAUUUAAACUCUUAAAGUGCUGAGCGUUGGCCAGACUCGGGCUGCAUGCACGCCGCUUCCAAAAAGCUCGACGGGUCUGCAGUGCCUAGCUGCCGUUGCUAAGCUGUGAUUGAACACUUGAUGUUCCAGGCGGGGGGGGUUGUUUAGGGCAAGCUGUCGAUUUUGGGAUUUAAAAAAAAAGCUUUUUUCCACAGCCUGUCUGCAAAUUUAAAGAAAAGUUGUCCGGUAAUCUUUCCGCUGAAUGAGAGAAAAUAAAGAGUGCCAAUAGGAGAAGAGGAGUUCCUUCUCCACCGCUGAGGAAGGUGCAAACAGUGUUCAGAGGGAGUCAUCAUGUCUGCCAUUGUGAUCCGUAAUUACACCGCAAAGGAGCGGUCUCUCUCCGGCGGUUUGGGAGCUAUUAGGUCGGAGGGAAUCAUCGGCUCAGACCUCCAGUCACCGGUAGACGGUGUGAACAGGCGACGUCACAAAAAGAGGCGCCUCCAUACUUCAUCCUGUGCAUCGUCCCACCAGACGCUUUUUUUUCUUCGUUUUGUGUCGUGAAGCAGAAACGAAACUGAAGAAUCAAUGUUUGCACAAGUCACUGCUUCCCCAAAACAUCUCGAUUGUCUCCAUCCAGCCAAAUUCCAAGUAGUUUGCUCUAGAAAGCCAACCAAAAAAAAAAAAAAGUGUGUGUGUGUGGAAAUAGCAGCACUAUAAACUCCCACCAGAGCAGCCCAGUCUCACUGUGUAGUGUUAUAGCAGUGUAUAGAGCCUGAACAAAUAUCUCUACAAAUACCACUCUGUGUACUAUUGAUGGUUACAAAGACUAAGUGGAGCAACUAUUUUUAUGAAAUGCAACACUAUGGAUAUAUGAACUUUUGCAAAAAUCUUGUUUACCUGUAUGAUAUUCUGAAACGCUGUCAAAAUAAAAGAACAUCUUGACACGACGUGAAAGAUUUCUUGAGGACGAGCUGCUGUGUGAUUCAUUCUGGGUGUUCCUUCUAAUCGAAGCGCACAACUGACGUACUUUUCAACACUUAGAGGUACUACUUAACACCAAGGGUGUGGACUGAACUAAACCGGCGUAGAAGGUGAGGAGGAACUGAACUUCAUGUGUGAAAUCCGGGGACUGCCCCUUUAAUUCAAGCUGUCAGGAAGUUAUUUUUCUAUCUCAUGUCUGGUAGCGCCGCCGUUUGGCCACAAGGGGGCAUCUGCUAAUUAUAGAUAACACUUUCUUUUGUUAAUUGAAAUGGAUUUUUAUUUUUAUUUUGUUUGUAUACACUAAACAUGUAUUUAAAUGUACAAAAUAAACUACUGGUG
This is a long non-coding RNA of Gasterosteus aculeatus aculeatus (three-spined stickleback), 2492 nucleotides long. The record is from Ensembl. Lineage: Eukaryota; Metazoa; Chordata; Actinopteri; Perciformes; Gasterosteidae.